UACGGGGGGAGCAAGCGUUGUUCGGAUUUACUGGGCGUAAAGGGCGCGUAGGCGGCCAGCACAAGUCAGUUGUGAAAUCUCCGAGCUUAACUCGGAAAGGUCAACUGAUACUGUGCGGCUAGAGUGCGGAAGGGGCAACUGGAAUUCUUGGUGUAGCGGUGAAAUGCGUAGAGAUCCGGAGGAACACCAGAGGCGAAGGCGGCCUACUGGGUCAGUACUGACGCUGAGCCGCGAAAGCCAGGGGAGCGAACGGG
This 254-nucleotide ribosomal RNA is filed under the name uncultured bacterium. RNAcentral's name for it is "partial 16S ribosomal RNA". It matches the Rfam family "Bacterial small subunit ribosomal RNA", at positions 524 to 776 of the family's 1533-position model. The record is from RNAcentral.